Macaca mulatta (Rhesus monkey) is the source of this 1629-nucleotide long non-coding RNA. NCBI's taxonomy places the organism in Eukaryota, Metazoa, Chordata, Mammalia, Primates, Cercopithecidae. The record is from Ensembl.
AGCAGCCAGCACCAUGGAACAAGGACUACUGCUCCCUCGUGGACUAGGGCAGAGAUGGUGUCAUGCUGACUUCUGUCCUUCUUCCAAGAAUACCUCUCACAGAAACCACCUGCAAACAGAAGCCUCAUCUCUUAUACCAGCUGUUACCUUUUCUACCAUUAAAAAUUACCAUUCAGGACUAGACUGAAGACCUUACUCCAUUCCUCCCUAACUACAGGACUGCUUUCUAGGGAUCUCGUAACAGGAAGGAAUCAUCUCUACUCCUCAAUUCCACAGGGAGCAGAUGUCCAACCAGGAGUUCAUAGAGAAACAAGCGCUACAGUCCUGAACUCCUUAAUGAUUAGAAGACCGGGAAAGUCAUUGAACACCUUGGGACUUUAUUUUGUCCAUCUGUAAUUGGCAAAAUGCACUCCACGUCUACUUUGUAGCUCCUCUCCUCAGAGAGAGGGUAAUCAAAGAAAAUGAAAUGUGAAGGAGACGGACGCGUAUCCUGCUAGCGAGUGGAGUACCCGGGAGAAAAUAAACAGGCUCUCAAGUGCCAGGCUGAAUGUAUCAAAGGACAAGUGAAGUAUCACAGAGAGAAAUGAAGUGAAAGAGGAACUGAGAUAUGUUAAGUCUCUGAAAUUGACAGAAAGAGACAGAACAAUCUUGUCGGGGAACCUGUUGAAGAUCCAGGAGUUGAGAAAUAUGUUUAGAGAUUCUCAGGGCCAAAAAUGUGCUCAGAAGUCAAAUACGGGAAAGAAACUUAGAUGACUUCAAAGAUGAACUCCUUUGUGACAGUUUUCAGGCCCCAGGAAGAGUGAGUUGCUGCUGCCUCAGUGCCCACAGGCUCUCAAAGUGCCUCUUCCUGCCUGGACCACAGUACCCAGCACACUGGUGAUGAACGCCUGACCCCAGGUCUACUCCUCCACCAGAAGGUCUGGAGACACGGAAGAGUCUCCAGAGCAGAGGCCAGGGCUAAUCUGUCUUCAUACUCACAGUACGUGGCACAUUGGAGCUGUUCAAUGCAUGCCUUUUAAAUUGCUGAGAGAAAUUUCGGGAGUGACCUCCUCGAAUAGCCAAGGCUAAGAGAGCCAAGAAAAGAGUAUGCGGUCUCCCAAACAGGCAAGGCUGGGAGAGGAAAGGCAGCUCAGGGGUUGAUGGCUGUGUUUGGGGAAAGGUUUUCGGUGAGGGAAAAUGGGGCAGGCAGUAUUUCACACUGGGCAUUCCUGGGAAUUAUCUAGACCAUGAGAUCAUGGCUUUCAAGGAAGGUAACAAUAACUAAAAGGAAAAAAAGAGGGAAUCUAAAAAAAGAGGAAAGACCAAAGUCAGAGAAUCUCUGACCAAACUUCUGCCUUGAAGGUUGGCAGGCAGCAGGAACAUCACUCAAAGUCUGGCAAAGAUGUGCUAGAAGGGAAGCGUUGAUCCAUUUUUUUCCAUGGCUCAGGUGAGGUAGCAGCUGCCACCCAAACAGUAUCAUCUGAGAGAAAAUACCUGUCUCAAGCAUCCCUUUCUCCCGGAACAUGGUCACUGCUCUCUUCUUUAUGUCAAAGCAUGCAUAUUAUAUUGGUCCAUUCUCAUGCUGCUAAUAAAGACACACCUGAGACUGUGUAAUUUAUAAAGAAAAGAGGUUUAACUGGCUCACAGUUC